CAAUGAGUGUUUUAUGGCACUCUUUAAAAAUCCAUAUCCACCUUGUGUGCAAUGUUUGUUGGGAGAGAGGCAACUCUUUCCCUUCACAAAUAUCAACCUAUAUCUUUUAACUCUUUGUCUGAAAAAUAUUAUGAAUAAACAAUUCAAAAUA
This 151-nucleotide unclassified non-coding RNA is filed under the name uncultured Mortierella. Its description in RNAcentral is "sequence contains ITS1". Lineage: Eukaryota; Fungi; Mortierellomycota; Mortierellomycetes; Mortierellales; Mortierellaceae. The record is from RNAcentral.